This 1026-nucleotide ribosomal RNA is filed under the name Campiglossa doronici. RNAcentral's name for it is "partial 16S ribosomal RNA". Lineage: Eukaryota; Metazoa; Arthropoda; Insecta; Diptera; Tephritidae. The record is from RNAcentral.
UUGAAAAAUUUUUAUAAAAAAAGAAAAAUUAAUUAUUUGUACCUUGUGUAUCAGGGUUUAUUAAUUAAUUAAUAAUUAUUUAUUAAUCUCGAUUUUAUAAGAGUUAAUAAUUUAUUAAAGUUAAUGUAUUAAAAUUAUUUUAAAUAAAUUGUUAGAAAUGAAAUGUUAUUCGUUUAUAAAGGUAUCUAGUUUUUUUAGAAAUAAAUUUAAUUUACUAAUUUUUAAUUUAUUUAUUAAUUUAUUAAUAAAUAAAUUUAUUAAUUAAAAUAUUUUAAGGGAUAAGCUUUAAAAUAAAAUUGUUAUAAAUUUAAUUAUUUUUUUUUGAAAAAUAUAUGCAUAGAAUUAGCAAUUAUUAUAAAUUUUGUUAAAAAUUAUUUUAUAAUUAUAUUAUUUAUUUAUGUUUUAAUUUUUUUUAUAAAAAUUUUAUUUUUAAUUUUAUUUAAUAAUUAAUAAUGAUAAAAUUAGUAUAUUUUUAUGUUUAAAAUAAUUAUAAUUGAUAAGUUUAUAUAAAGAACUCGGCAAAUAUAUUACUCGCCUGUUUAACAAAAACAUGUCUUUUUGAGUUAUUUUUAAAGUCUAACCUGCCCAAUGAAUAAAAUUUAAUGGCCGCAGUAUUCUGACUGUGCAAAGGUAGCAUAAUCAUUAGUCUUUUAAUUGAAGGCUUGUAUGAAUGGUUGGACGAAGUAUAUUCUGUUUCAUAUAAAUUUAAUUUAGAAUUUUAUUUUUUAGUUAAAAAGCUAAAAUUAAAUUAAAAGACGAGAAGACCCUAUAAAUCUUUAUAAUUUAUUUUAUUUUUAUUUUUUGGAUUAAAUUUUAUUUAAAUAAAAUUAAUUAUUUUAUUGGGGUGAUAUUAAAAUUUAAAUAACUUUUAAUUUUUAAAAACAUUAAUUUAUGAUUUAUUGAUCCAUUAUUAAUGAUUAAAAGAAUAAGUUACUUUAGGGAUAACAGCGUAAUUUUUUUGGAGAGUUCUUAUUGAUAAAAAAGUUUGCGACCUCGAUGUUGGAUUAAGAUAUAAUUUUAGGUGUA